AACAAUCAACAGGGCUUUGAAGUGGAAAGGGAGUGGGUGGUGGGGGGGUGUGUGGCUUUAGGGUCUCUGGCUUAGGAAGCUGAGUCUCCGUAGUGCCAUUCAUACAGAUGGAAUGAGGGAAGAAGCAGUUUCAUGGGAAAGUAGUAAAUUUGAUUGAGUAACAAGAGCUUGGGGGAUCCAGAAGAGAGCUAGGUUUGCAGUUCAGGAGUCCAGGAGAGAGUCAGACUGAAAACAUAAGCCCAUGGAUAGUCAGUCAUUGAAGCCAUGGGAAUGAAGAUCACCUAUGGGAAACACAGAUAGAAGCGAAUGUUACCACAAUGAAGUGUGGUCUAUACAAUUAAUUGCUGCAAAGAGGUCAGAAUAGAGUGAUCUGUGAUAUCUUCCCACUAAUCCCAAGUCAGGAGAGAGAGAGAAUGAAGAUCCAUUGCUGUAGAGGAACAAACUGAACGUGUUGAAGGUCCCGCAAGGCCAAUGUGGCUGGAAUGCAGACACAAAGCCAGGAGGAACAAGAGAUGGGGCUGACAAGAGAGGCAGGAGUCAGAUCUCAUGGGAACUGUCACCUGCAGUGUUGCAGACCUCUUUGAAUACACCAUGAGCACUGUGGAUUCUCGCCUCUGGAGAAUAAAAAUCACAUACAGAAAAGUUCAGACAACUUUAAGGAGUUUGAAGAAUCCCUGCUAGUCGUGGACCCAUCUGGGGUUGGUGGAUUCCUCACCAUGACUCUUUGGAUUCAGAAGUCAUAUAAGAUGCAGUUUAACAAAUAUUGGAAGUCAAAUGAGCAUUCUGCGGAAAAACAGCUUCUUCCAUACAUCAUCUUCUGGAAUAUCCCAGAUCUGGAAGAGGUCACAGGAAUGUCCAUUCAUAGGGAGCUCUACCUGGAGCUCAGAGAUGAUUGAGAGAGGGUAUUCAUCAUGGAUGUGUCCAAGUGAAGGUAGUUUGGAAAGAAACAAAGUUACCCUUUUUUCUCACUAAACAUCUUAGGGUCCCCAUUAGCAGGAAGGAAGGAAGAGGACAGGUGAGCUCCCUGGUAUUGAUGUAUUUACAGAGAACCUAGGCAUCAGCCAUACAUACAGAGGACACUCAUUUGGCCAGAAUUUGGGCUUUGACUUUAAUUAAAUUCCCUUGCUCCCAAUAAGACCUCUCUUAAUCUGAAAACAAUUUGUCAUAAGUGAUGUACCUGCCAAGACCUCAUGGCAAAGAGGCAGGGGGUACCUAGUAAAUGUUGCUGACAAACUCCAGCAUGACUCUAAAGGGACAGUGGCUUCCUUUGGAUGGUCAUGUGCUGCUGCUGGACAUAGCAAUCAGAAGGACAGUGGUGAACACCCAGGAGUGAACCAAGAUGCAAAGUUCAAGUCCGAGGGAAGAAGGGUGCAGUGCGGAAGAAGGGAAGGCAGAUGCUGCAGCCCUGCCUACAAGCAAGGAGGGAGCCAUUAAGAGCCCCAAGCUGGCCAGGCGCAGUGGCUUGCGCCUGUAUUCCUAAUCCCGGCACUUUGGGAAGCCAAGGUGGACGGAUCACCUGAGGUCAGGAGUUUGAGACCAGCUUGACCAACAUGGAGAAACUCUGUCUCUACUAAAAAUACAAAAUUAGCCAGGAGGCUGAGGCAGAAGAAUUGCUAGAAUCCGGGAGGUAGAGGUUGCAGUGAGCCGAGAUCGUGCCAUUGCACUCUAGCCUGGGCAACAAGAGCGAAACUCCAUCUCAAAAAAACAAAAAAGCCCCAAGCCUACUUUAUCAGACAGAGGAAUCAAGUUGUAUUUCCUUCUCACCAAGAGACGCUGGAAAGCUGUAAUCUUACACCAGUGGAGAAAGUGAGAGGAAAAUAAACCCUUUCUAAGGAUGAAUCCUGAAAGCCUUUCACAGACAAUGCUGCUUCUAUAAGAAUGACCUGUGAUGGCUAAGCCAUCACAGUCUUCAUUCCAAUUGACAUUCUAGGUAAACCUGCGCACAACUUUUUCUGUGUAUUUUCCAAAAAAGGAUCAUUUUAUAAAGGCUCA
This 1992-nucleotide long non-coding RNA is filed under the name Homo sapiens (human). Its description in RNAcentral is "HSALNT0299053". Lineage: Eukaryota; Metazoa; Chordata; Mammalia; Primates; Hominidae. The record is from RNAcentral.